RNAcentral lists this ribosomal RNA (1409 nucleotides) under Shewanella putrefaciens. Its description in RNAcentral is "partial 16S ribosomal RNA". It matches the Rfam family "Bacterial small subunit ribosomal RNA", at positions 89 to 1460 of the family's 1533-position model. Lineage: Bacteria; Pseudomonadati; Pseudomonadota; Gammaproteobacteria; Alteromonadales; Shewanellaceae. The record is from RNAcentral.
CAAUGCGCGACGAGCGGUCGCCAUGGUAGGCCAUUUCUGACGAGCUAGGCGUUGGACGUAGGUUUAUGCCCAGCGUCAGGUGAGAAGCUUCUCCACUUAGUUGGAAGCACGGUGGGGCCGCAUACGCCGUUCGGGCUAAAGAGGGGGUCCUUUUGGGUUCUGGGAUUGGUGAGCCUACCGUGCGUUAGCCGCUUGGUGAGGUAGUGCCUCACCAAGGCGACAAUCCCUAGCUGUUCUGAGAGGAUGAUAGCCCACACUGGGACUGACCACGGCCCACUCUCUACGGGAGGCAGCAGUGGGGAAUAUUGCACAAUGGGGGAAACCCUGAUGCAGCCAUGCCGCGUGUGUGAAGAAGGCCUUCGGGUUGUAAAGCACUUUCAGUAGGGAGGAAAGGGUGAGUCUUAAUACGGCUCAUCUGUGACGUUACCUACAGAAGAAGGACCGGCUAACUCCGUGCCAGCAGCCGCGGUAAUACGGAGGGUCCGAGCGUUAAUCGGAAUUACUGGGCGUAAAGCGUGCGCAGGCGGUUUGUUAAGCGAGAUGUGAAAGCCCUGGGCUCAACCUAGGAAUAGCAUUUCGAACUGGCGAACUAGAGUCUUGUAGAGGGGGGUAGAAUUCCAGGUGUAGCGGUGAAAUGCGUAGAGAUCUGGAGGAAUACCGGUGGCGAAGGCGGCCCCCUGGACAAAGACUGACGCUCAUGCACGAAAGCGUGGGGAGCAAACAGGAUUAGAUACCCUGGUAGUCCACGCCGUAAACGAUGUCUACUCGGAGUUUGGUGUCUUGAACACUGGGCUCUCAAGCUAACGCAUUAAGUAGACCGCCUGGGGAGUACGGCCGCAAGGUUAAAACUCAAAUGAAUUGACGGGGGCCCGCACAAGCGGUGGAGCAUGUGGUUUAAUUCGAUGCAACGCGAAGAACCUUACCUACUCUUGACAUCCACGGAAGAGACCAGAGAUGGACUUGUGCCUUCGGGAACCGUGAGACAGGUGCUGCAUGGCUGUCGUCAGCUCGUGUUGUGAAAUGUUGGGUUAAGUCCCGCAACGAGCGCAACCCCUAUCCUUAUUUGCCAGCACGUAAUGGUGGGAACUCUAGGGAGACUGCCGGUGAUAAACCGGAGGAAGGUGGGGACGACGUCAAGUCAUCAUGGCCCUUACGAGUAGGGCUACACACGUGCUACAAUGGCGAGUACAGAGGGUUGCAAAGCCGCGAGGUGGAGCUAAUCUCACAAAGCUCGUCGUAGUCCGGAUUGGAGUCUGCAACUCGACUCCAUGAAGUCGGAAUCGCUAGUAAUCGUGGAUCAGAAUGCCACGGUGAAUACGUUCCCGGGCCUUGUACACACCGCCCGUCACACCAUGGGAGUGGGCUGCAAAAGAAGUGGGUAGCUUAACCUUCGGGGGGGCGCUCACCAC